GAUGAACGCUGGCGGCGUGCCUAAUACAUGCAAGUCGAGAGAACGGACGAGAAGCUUGCUUCUCUGAUGUUAGCGGCGGACGGGUGAGUAGCACGUGGAUAACCUACCUAUAAGACUGGGAUAACUUCGGGAAACCGUAGCUAAUACCGGAUAAUAUUUUGAACCGCAUGGUUCAAAAGUGAAAGACGGUCUUGCUGUCACUUAUAGAUGGAUCCGCGCUGCAUUAGCUAGUUGGUAAGGUAACGGCUUACCAAGGCAACGAUGCAUAGCCGACCUGAGAGGGUGAUCGGCCACACUGGAACUGAGACACGGUCCAGACUCCUACGGGAGGCAGCAGUAGGGAAUCUUCCGCAAUGGGCGAAAGCCUGACGGAGCAACGCCGCGUGAGUGAUGAAGGUCUUCGGAUCGUAAAACUCUGUUAUUAGGGAAGAACAUAUGUGUAAGUAACUGUGCACAUCUUGACGGUACCUAAUCAGAAAGCCACGGCUAACUACGUG
This 497-nucleotide ribosomal RNA is filed under the name uncultured bacterium. RNAcentral describes it as "partial 16S ribosomal RNA". It matches the Rfam family "Bacterial small subunit ribosomal RNA", at positions 28 to 507 of the family's 1533-position model. The record is from RNAcentral.